This 962-nucleotide ribosomal RNA is filed under the name uncultured archaeon. RNAcentral's name for it is "bacterial SSU rRNA". It matches the Rfam family "Archaeal small subunit ribosomal RNA", at positions 1 to 727 of the family's 1478-position model. The record is from RNAcentral.
CUCCGGUUGAUCCUGCCGGACCCGACUGCUAUCGGAUUGAGAUUUAGCCAUGCGAGUCGAACGUCCCCCUGUUGCGGGGGGCGUGGCGUACGGCUCAGUAACACGUAGUCAACCUGCCCUGGAGACAAGGACAACCCCGGGAAACUGGGAUUAAUCCUUGAUAGGUCAUCUCAUCUGGAAGGAGAGAUGGCUUAAAGGGGUACGCGGGCUUCUUCCGCGAAUUCGCUCCAGGAUGGGACUGCGUCCGAUCAGGCUGUUGGCGGGGUAAUGGCCCACCAAACCUGUAACCGGUACGGGCCUUGAGAGAGGUGGCCCGGAGAUGGACACUGAGAGAAGGGUCCAGGUCCUACGGGGCGCAGCAGGCGCGAAACCUUCGCAAUGCGCGAAAGCGUGACGAGGUUAAUCCGAGUGACUCCCGCUUAGGGGGUCUUUUGUCAGCUGUAAAUAGGCAGGCGAAUAAGGGGAGGGCAAGCCUGGUGUCAGCCGCCGCGGUAAUACCAGCUCCUCGAGUGGUCGGGGCGAUUAUUGGGCCUAAAGCAUCCGUAGCCGGUUCCGUAGGUCCUCUGUUAAAUCCAACCGCUUAACAGUUGACCUGCAGAGGAUACCGCGGGACUAGGAGGCGGGAGAGGCGGACGGUACUCCGCGUGUAGGGGUAAAAUCCUUUGAUCCGCGGAAGACCACCAGAUUGGCUUUGGGGGAGUUAAGUACAGAGAGCACAUUAAACAUCAUGAGCAUCCCUCGAUUACUGGGACACAGUUUCGGGGAUGGAUACAUCCACAUCAACAAGUUCUACUUCGUCUACACAAACACUUCGGAUGAACUUCUGAAGUCUACCAUCGAAGACGUGAGAACUCAAUUCGGAACGUCUCAAUUCUGCGAGAGGAAAUCGGUCGGGGGGACACCACAAGUCCAGUUCCCUGCCUUCGUGGGCAGGAGAUUGAACGAGCUGGGCGCCCCACGGG